RNAcentral lists this long non-coding RNA (1028 nucleotides) under Equus caballus (horse). Its description in RNAcentral is "lncRNA (ENSECAG00000055256.1)". Lineage: Eukaryota; Metazoa; Chordata; Mammalia; Perissodactyla; Equidae. The record is from RNAcentral.
CUGGGGCAUUUUCUUCUAGCUGCUGUUGAAACUAUAGAGGAUUAAAGAUUUCCCAAAGUUCAGGCUGGAUAAUCCCUUCUACAGGAUUAACUCACUGAAUAGCUUUCCAGGUAUAUUUGUUUCAGGAAAGAAACAACAGAUUUCAAAUCCCUAAAUCUAGUUCUCGUCAAGAUGGCGCUGUGAGCAGACGUUGAACUCACCUCCUCCCACGAACACAACCAGGUUACAACAAUUUUGGGAAGAAUCACCCUGGAUUGAAAACUGAAAACUGGAUUAAAAGAACCCCCACGACAAAGGACAGUCGUGACGAAAGCAGAAGAGGCAGAAACUCCCGCUGGAGAGGAAAAAAAGCCACCUUUGGGAGCAGCGGAGCUUCUCAGCUGGCCAGGCGGGAGCCAACAUAAGGGGGAAGAAAGACCAUAAAAUGCUCUCUGAAUCCAUAAGGACAACCCCAUUGGCACAGAUGGGAAUUUUACUCUGAAGUGACAGCACUGCUUUCCUGAAACAUGACCUAACGACUACAAAGAGUUUCUUUGGAAGCACCAAAUUUUGUCAUUGACCCCUCUUUACCAUAUCACGCUCUCCUGAACCACUCCAUAGCAAUGUUCCUGGGAAGUUAAAGAUGGCUCAGAAGAAAAACUGUCAUCUUUAACAAAGAAAGAACUGUGUCAUGGCAUCUUGUUACAAUGUUUCAGUUAUUUUGAAAAGCUUUGAUUUGUUGGAGGAAAGGCAAGAAAGUCUAUAAGGCCCCUCCAGCAAAGACACAAUGCAGAUAAGAUCCACCAUCAGAGCAGGUCUGAAGAAGCAACAGAGACCAAAUAUUCAUCUGUAGGCAGCACAUACGAAUGCUCGGGUGCAAACAGCCCGAUGCUAUUUAAAUGGAUGGAUUCUCAUGUGAAUUUACCAUUCACUCUCCUCUAGGGAUGUGAGGACAACGGGAGCAGAUUUAGUUAUCUAUCUUUACUUGCCUCCUUAGAGCCCACAGAAGAAAAUGAAAAUGCUUCAAUAAAAUAAGUGAUGCAAGAAAG